CCUCUUCUUCCUCCUCCUCCUCCUCCUCCUCCUCCUCCUCCUCCUCCUCCUCCUCCUCCCGUUGCAAUCCGCGUAACGUUUUGGAACAUCUAGCGCCAUUCCCGUCCAUUCCUCACCUACUGCCAUACAGCGAGUGCCAUUCCCGAGCCCAUUCCCACUUGCUCACACUCCACAUGAAAGUCAGACUGGAAUAUAGGCUUUGGUGGAGGGAAUCAGGUUGGAAUACAGGGCUUUUGGAAUACAGGAAUCAAGGCUGGAAUGUGACGUUGAGAAUGGGAACUGGACGGGAAUUUAUCUUUAGGAGUGUGAAGAUUUAAGUCAGACUGGAAUACAGGCUUUGGAAUACAGGAACCAAGGCUGGAAUACAUGACGUUGGGAAUGGGAACUGGACGGGAAUUUAACUUUUGGAGUGUGAAGAUUUAAGUCAGACUGGAAUACAGGCUUGGGAGGAAGGAAUCAAGGGUGGGAAUCAGACUGGAAUAUAUGACUUUAGGAAUGGGAACUGGACGGGAAUUUAACUUCUGGAGUGUGAAGAUUUAAGUCAGACUGGAAUACAGGCUUGGGAGGAAGGAAUCAAGUUGGAAUACAGGAAUCAAGGGUGGGAAACAAACUGGAAUAUAUGACUUUAGGAAUGGGAACUGGACUGGAAUUUGUUUUUUAGUGUGAAGAUCAAGGUAAGAAACAUGGGAAUCGGACUGGAAUAAAAGACUAGGAAUAGGAAUCAGGCUGGAAUAUUACUUUAGGAAUGGAAAUCAGCUUGGAAUACAUGCUUUAAUAGGGGAAAUAUAAAAGUGAAAAUAGUGGGAAUCAGGCUGGAACAUGACUAGGAAUGGGGAUCAGACUGGAAUACGGGACCUUUAGAAAUAGGUCAGGUUGGAAUAGGAAGCUUUGCAAAUAGGAAUCAACCUGGAAUAUCAAACUUUAGGAAUGGGUCAGGUUGGAACGUCACUUUUGGAAUGGGAAUCAGGCAGGAAUAUAAGCUUUAGGAAUGGGUCAGGUUGGAACGUUACUUUAGAAAUGGGAAUCAGGCUGGAAUAUGAAGGUUUAGGAAUGGGUAAGUUUGGAACGUCACUUUUGGAAUGGGAAUCAGGCAGGAAUAUGGUUUAGUAAUGGGUCAGGUUGGAACAUCACUUUUGGAAUGGGAAUCAGGCAGGAAUAUAAGGUUUAGGAAUGGGUUAGGUUGGAACGUCUUUAGGAAUGGGAAUCAGGCUGGAAUAUAAAGGUUUAGAAAUGGGAAUCAGGCAGGAAUAUGGUUUAGUAAUGGGUCAGGUUGGAACAUCACUUUUGGAAUGGGAAUCAGGCAGGAAUAUAGAGGUUUAGGAAUGGGUUAGGUUGGAACAUCACUUUGGGAAUGGGAAUACGACUGAAAUACUGGAACGGCGACAGGACUGGGAGGCGGGAAUGAAAAUAUUGGAAUGGACGACUCUAUGGGGGGCCAUUCCUGUUUAUUUAAAGGCGACCUCUAUCGGGAAUGGGGUGAGGGGCGCCAUUCCCAUUCCAGUUGAUAUAAUGGUGAUGGUGCCUCGCUCACACUGGAAUGCCCGUCUGUCUGUCUGUCUGUGAGUGUGUCUGUCAGUCUAUAUAUCUGUCUGUGUGUGUGUGUGUGUGUGUGUGUGUGUGUGUGUGUGUGUGUGUGUGUGUGUGAGUGCGUCUGUCAGUCUAUCUAGUGUGUCUGUCUGUCUGUCUGUCUGUCUGUCUAUAUAUCUGUCUAUCUGUGUGUGUGUGUGUGUGUGUGUGUGUGUGUGUAUAUCUGUCUAUCUGUGUGUGUCUGUCUGUCUGUCUGUCUGUAUAGCAUGUCUCUGUGUGUAUGUCUAACGUUUAUUUGUCUGUCUGUCUGUCUUUGUAUCUGUCUAACGGCUCGCGUGUCUGUCUGUCUGUCUGUCUGUGUGGUUUUAACAGCAUGCUCUUUCCUUUCUCCAUUUCCCUCCCUUUCCCUUCCCCUCCUUAUCCUCUCCUUCCAUUUCUUUCCCUUCUAUUCCCUUUCCUCUUUUUCUCAUCCUUCCUUUCCAUUAUCAUUUUUGCUUCCCUGUCUUUCCCUUCCCUUCCCUUUCCAUCUAUUUGUCUUCUAUUCUUCUUCCUCUCCUAACAUUUUUUCCCCCUUCUAUUCCCUUCCCUUCUUUUCUCAUCCUUCCUUUCCAUUAUCAUUUCUGCUUCCCUGUCUUUCCCUUCCCUUCCAUUUCCAUCUAUUUAUCUUCUCUUCUUUUUGCUCUACAUACAUUUCUUUCCUGUCCAUUCUCUUCCCUUCCAUUUCCUUUUCCAUCCUUCCUUUUUAUAUUAACUUAUUUUUUUCUUCACUGUCCUUAAGUUAGGUUAGGUUAGGUUAGGUUAGAUUAGGUUAGGUAAAGUAAGGUAAGGUAAGGUAAGGUUAGGUUAGGUUAGGUAAGGUAAGGUAAGGUAAGGUAAGGUAAGGUAAGGUAAGGUUAGGUUAGGUUAGGUUAGGUUAGGUAAGGUAAGGUAAGGUAAGGUAAGGUAAGGUAAGGUAAGGUAAGGUAAGGUAAGGUUAGGUUAGGUAAGGUAAGGUAAGGUAAGGUAAGGUAAGGUAAGGUUAGGUUAGAUUAGGUUAGGUAAGGUAAGGUAAGGUUAGGUUAGGUUAGGUUAGGUUAGGUUAGGUAAGGUAAGGUAAGGUAAGGUAAGGUAAGGUUAGAUUAGGUUAGGUUAGAUUAGGUUAGGUAAGGUAAGGUAAGGUAAGGUUAGGUUAGAUUAGGUAAGGUAAGGUAAGGUAAGGUAAGGUAAGGUAAGGUUAGGUUAGAUUAGGUAAGGUAAGGUAAGGUAAGGUUAGGUAAGGUAAGGUAAGGUUAGGUUAGAUUAGGUUAGGUAAGGUAAGGUAAGGUUAGGUUAGAUUAGGUUAGGUAAGGUAAGAUAAGGUUAGGUUAGGUUAGGUUAGGUUAGGUUAGGUUAGGUUAGGUUAGGUUAGCCCUCUCGUUCCCUUUCCUCUCCAUCCCUUUUCUUUCCCUCUUCAGCCCUUCACUGUCAUCAUCAUCACCAUCAUCAUCACUAUUACGAACAUCCAUUUUCUUUACGUCUCCCGCUACUGUCACCAUCAACACUAUCCCUUCACCAUUGACUCACUAUUACCAACAUCAAAGUUUAUCUCCCCAUUUUCUUCACCAUCGUCAUUAUAGUACUUUUUUGGGGGGUCCUAAUUUUCAUGACAUAUGUGACACUAAUCGUUACAUGUAUCUCAAUAUCAUUAUCAGUAUCUCUCUCUCUCUCUCUCUCUCUCUCUCUCUCUCUCUCUCUCUCUCUCUCUCUCUCUCUGGGGACGGUGGAAAAGAAAUAAGAGGAGGAGGAGGAGGAGGAGAGGAAGAAGAAAAAAAGCGGGGAAAGAAACAGAAGAAGAAGAAGAAGAAGAAGAAGAAGAAGAAGAAGAAGAAGAAGAAGAAGAAAUAGUAGAAGAAAAAGAGGAAGUUAAAGACGAAGACGAAGAAGAAGAAGAAGAAGAAAAAGAAGAAGAAGAAGAAGAAAAAGAAGAAAGAGAAGAAGAAGUAAUAGAAGAAAAAGGGGAAGAAAAAGAUGUUACGUGGUCUCUCUCUCUCUCUCUCUCUCUCUCUCUCUCUCUCUCUCUCUCUCUCUCUCUCUCUCUCUCUCUCUCUCUCUCUCUCAAGUCCGUUUCUAAUUGCACAACUUUCACAACGUUUUUCUCUUUUUUCUUUCGCGUCCGUUGCUGUUAUUAGAUAGUGUUGUUGUUGUUGUUGUUGUUGUAUUCUUUGUUUUGUUUUUUGUUGUUCUUGUUCUUGUUGUUUUAAAAGUGUUAGCAGCUGUAAAGAGUUAACGAUAGUAGUAGUAGUAGUAGUAGUAGUAGUAGUAGUAGUAGUAGUAGUAGUGUGGGCUAUAAGAACAUAAGGACACAGCAAGGGGGAGGUAGGCCUAUAAAGGGCAGCUCGUAGUUUUAGCAGUAGGCCUAGUGUAACAGCAUAAGGGAGAAGAGUAUUAAUAGGAGUAGUAAGAGGCUGAGGAGGAGGAGGAAGAGAAGGAGACAAACGAGGAAGAGGAAGAGGAUUAAGAGGAAGAGGAGGAAGAGGAAGAAGAGAAGGAGGAAGAGGAGGAGGAGACAAACGAAGAAGAGGAAUAGGAGAAAGGAAGCAGAGAAGGAGGAGGAGGAGGAAGAGGAAGAGGAGGAGAAGGAGGAAGAGGAGGAGGAGACAAACGAAGAAGAGGAAUAGGAGAAAGGAAGCAGAGAAGGAGGAGGAAGAGGAAGAGGAAGGGGAGGAGGAGUAAGAGGAAGAGGAGUAAGAGGAAGAAGAGAAGGAGGAAGAGGAGGAGGAGACAAACGAAGAAGAGGAAUAGGAGAAAGGAAGCAGAGAAGGAGGAGAAAGGAAGCAGAGAAGGAGGAGGAAGAGGAAGAGGAGGAGGAGGAGAAGGAAGAGGAGUAAGAGGUGAAGGAAGAGGACACGAAACACGGUCAAGAGUAUCGACUUGAGAGCCACGCAAAUUAUUAUCGACUAAGAGGAGGAGGAGGAGGAGGAAGAGGAGGAAGAGGAGGAGGAGGAGGAGGAAGAGUAGAGUUCACUAACCUCACAAGUGUUCAAAUAAGGCGAGAUAACACCCUAGAAUUACCUCUCUCUCUCUCUCUCUCUCUCUCUCUCUCUCUCUCUCUCUCUCUCUCUCUCUCUCUCUCUCUCUGCUACUAUGUUCUGUCUCUUUCUUUCUUUUUUAUCUAUUUUCCUUUCCUUUCUAUUUUUUCCUAUUUUUCUUUUCAUUUUCCUUAUUCCUGUUAUUUUCUUAUUUUCUUCUUUUUUUCCUUUUCCUUGUCUUUCGCUUCAUCUCUCUCUCUCUCCCCUUUUCCUGAUAUUUUCUCUCUCACCCUUUCUUUCCUUCCUUCUCUCCUUUCAACUUUUUUCCUGUUUCCUCCUAACCUUCCUCUUCUCUCCUAUCUCUUUUCUUCUACCCCUUUCCUCUUCGUUCCUCUCUUCUCCCACCUCCUUCCUUCCUUUCCCUUCCUUUUUCUGUUAUUGCUAUCCUUUAUUUUCCAUCUUUUUCCUCUCUUCCCUCUUUUCUCUCCAUUCCUUCUCUCUUCCUCUCCUUCCCUUCCUCAUACCUAACUUUUUUUUUCUAUUUUUAUCUCUGGCGCAUCGGUAAGUGAGUCUACCCACGAAUCCACUGGCCAAGGUUCGCAUCCCGCCACGCCCAGCCAGCCCACCUUUUGUUUACCUUCCCUCGCAGGCUGAUCAAUAGACAUACACACCUGGGAAGCCUGGCUAAGGUAAGCUGUGGUAACCUGGAUGGCUCGGUCUGUCUAUCUGUCUGUCUGUCUGUCUUUUCUUUUCCUUCCUCCUUUUCUAAAACUUCCUUGUCAGCCUUUUCUUCUUAAUUUCAUUCUUGUUUUUCUAGUUCCCAUUGCUGUCUCUCUCUAUGACUACUUAAUACUGUUACUACUACUACUACUACUACUACUACUACUACUACUUCUCAAUCUUCUACAAAACCAUUUAAACAUUUUCUUCAAUUUCUCUUUGUUUAUAUUCUGAAAUUCCCAGCUUGUUCUCCCCUUUCUCUCUCUCUCUCUCUCUCUCUCUCUCUCUCUCUCUCUCUCUCUCUCUCUCUCUCUCUCUC
This is a long non-coding RNA of Eriocheir sinensis (Chinese mitten crab), 5553 nucleotides long. RefSeq lists it as uncharacterized. The transcript has 4 exons. NCBI's taxonomy places the organism in Eukaryota, Metazoa, Arthropoda, Malacostraca, Decapoda, Varunidae. The record is from RefSeq and is a predicted model, not a curated record.